GACGAACGCUGGCGGCGUGCCUAAUACAUGCAAGUCGAGCGGACUGAUGGGAGCUUGCUCCCUGAUGUUAGCGGCGGACGGGUGAGUAACACGUGGGCAACCUGCCCUAUAGUUGGGGAUAACUCCGGGAAACCGGGGCUAAUACCGAAUGAUACAAUUUAACUCCUGUUAGAUUGUUGAAAGAUGGUUUUGCUAUCGCUAUAGGAUGGGCCCGCGGCGCAUUAGCUAGUAGGUGAGGUAACGGCUCACCUAGGCGACGAUGCGUAGCCGACCUGAGAGGGUGAUCGGCCACACUGGGACUGAGACACGGCCCAGACUCCUACGGGAGGCAG
This 332-nucleotide ribosomal RNA is filed under the name uncultured Bacillota bacterium. Its description in RNAcentral is "bacterial SSU rRNA". It matches the Rfam family "Bacterial small subunit ribosomal RNA", at positions 28 to 351 of the family's 1533-position model. Lineage: Bacteria; Bacillati; Bacillota. The record is from RNAcentral.